CAACACUGCUUCCCACAAACUUGAAUAAUGGAGUUGUUUACUUCGAAUGACCAACACAGUAAUCUUACAACUUCUCUAGCUAAUUUUUGGGGGAAACAGUUUUUGACUAAUGUUUGUCAUCAUGUCCGUGUGGUGUUCUGUGCCUGGCUGUACUAAUUACACACAAGGGUGAAAAUGAGUUACCUUUUACGGUUCUACCUACCAGAGGUUCACCCCGAUUCUGCUAGUGGCUUGCGGCCAUCAAGAAUGAUGCGGUGACUAAAGAUUAUCAGAGGGAUGUUCAGACUGAACCGUUCAAAUUCAAGCUAUUUGGAGUCAUUCCACAGUGACCCGCUGAAAAAUACCCCAAAGCAGGGACAUUUUGGCUACACAAGCAUGAGGAAGCAGACACCUUGCGGUUAUGGAGCACAACAACAUUCUGGCUCUCCAUGGAGGAGGUGGUGUGGGGGUCCUUUGCUGGUGGUACUGUCUGUGAUUUAUUUAGAAUUCAAGGCACACUUAACCAGCAUGGCUACCACAGCAUUCUGCAGUGAUACUCCAUCCCACCUGGUUUGCACUUAGUGUGCAUAUCAUUUGUUUUUCAAUGGGACAAUGACAAACACACCUCCAGGAUUGCUGGGGUGAUGGAGUGCUGCAUCAGAUGACCUGUCCUCCACAAUCGCCCGACCUAAACCCAAUUGAGAUGGUUUGGGAUGAGUUGGACCGCAGAGUGAAGGAAAAGCAGCCAACAAGUGCUCGACAUAUGUGGAAACUCCUUCCAGACUGUUGGAAAAACAUUCCAGGCGAAGCUGGUUGAGAGAAUGCCAAGAGUGUGCAAAGCUGUCAUCAAGGCAAAGGGUGACUACUUUGAAGAAUCUCAAAUAUAAAAUACAUUUUGAUUUGUUUAACACCUUGUUGGUUACUACAUGAUUCCAUAUGUGUUAUUUCAUAGUUUUGAUGUAUUCACUAUUAUUCUACAAUGUAAAAAUAAAGAAAAGCCCUUGAAUGAGUAGGUGUGAUCCUGUUGAUUGCAUGUUGAUUAGUUUCAGUGCUAUCUGGGUUGUUAAUCGGAUUCGCCCAGAAGUUCUUGAUUUAUAGUUUAUUUGUAUUGUACAUUUUAAUUAUUUGUGUACUUGUUUGACAUUUUACUACACAGUGUUAGGAUAUAGUAGCAUGAGCUUUCGCUAAACAGCUGCUAAACUGUGUAAGAGACCAAUAAACUUUUUUAUUUACCUAGA
Molecule: long non-coding RNA, 1217 nt
Organism: Oncorhynchus masou masou (cherry salmon)
Lineage: Eukaryota; Metazoa; Chordata; Actinopteri; Salmoniformes; Salmonidae
Exons: 2
Source: RefSeq, a predicted model, not a curated record